GCAUAUCAAUAAGCGGAGGAAAAAGAAACCAACAGGGAUUGCCUCAGUAACGGCGAGUGAAGCGGCAACAGCUCAAAUUUGAAAUCUGGCCUCACGGUCCGAGUUGUAAUUUGUAGAGGAUGCUUUUGGCGAGGUGCUUUCCGAGUUCCCUGGAACGGGACGCCAUAGAGGGUGAGAGCCCCGUACGGUAAGACCACCGAGCCUCUGUAAAGCUCCUUCGACGAGUCGAGUAGUUUGGGAAUGCUGCUCUAAAUGGGAGGUGUACGUCUUCUAAAGCUAAAUACCGGCCAGAGACCGAUAGCGCACAAGUAGAGUGAUCGAAAGAUGAAAAGCACUUUGAAAAGAGGGUUAAAAAGUACGUGAAAUUGUUGAAAGGGAAGCAUUCAUGACCAGACUUGGGCUUGGUUGAACAUCCGGCGUUCUCGCCGGUGCACUCUGCCAGUCCAGGCCAGCAUCAGUUUGCCCCGGGGGACAAAGGCGGUGGGAAUGUGGCUCUCUUCGGGGAGUGUUAUAGCCCGCCGUGUAAUGCCCUGGGGCGGACUGAGGAACGCGCUUCGGCACGGAUGCUGGCGUAAUGGUCAUCAAUGACCCGUCUUGAAACACGGACCAAGGAGUCGUCUUCGUAUGCGAGUGUUCGGGUGUCAAACCCCUACGCGUAAUGAAAGUGAACGUAGGUGAGAGCUUCGGCGCAUCACCGACCGAUCCUGAUGUUCUCGGAUGGAUUUGAGUAAGAGCAUACGGGGCCGGACCCGAAAGAAGGUGAACUAUGCCUGUAUAGGGUGAAGCCAGAGGAAACUCUGGUGGAGGCUCGCAGCGGUUCUGACGUGCAAAUCGAUCGUCAAAUAUGGGCAUGGGGGGCGAAAGACUAAUCGAACCUUCUAGUAGCUGGUUUCCGCCGA
This 899-nucleotide ribosomal RNA is filed under the name Sarocladium strictum. RNAcentral's name for it is "LSU rRNA". It matches the Rfam family "Eukaryotic large subunit ribosomal RNA", at positions 38 to 964 of the family's 3401-position model. The record is from RNAcentral. Lineage: Eukaryota; Fungi; Ascomycota; Sordariomycetes; Hypocreales; Sarocladiaceae.